UGGCCACGGGCCAGUCCAAUAGAGGCAAUUCCCCAAUUGUGGCUCCCUCAACCCAGGUGUGUCAAGUUGACACUAAAGCUAUCCAGCACAUCAUCUAUCCCAAAUCAUAACUACAGGUAAGACACACUGGCAUUUAUCUAGCAGCUUUUUGCACCUUCUUUAUAGAGCCACAGAAACAGCAUCCAGGCAAUCCAUUCUAGAAUUUCACAAAAUCAUAUUUCUAGAAAGACUGAGUACAAGCUGGUCAAAGUUGGAGAGGGGGAACUGGAGAGCUGAGGCAUUUUGCUACUGAAAGAACAAGUACAAACGAAGCAUUCAGCAACUGAUGAGUUACUCAGCAAAAUUUCAAGGACUCAAACUGCAAUGUACAAAAGUUAAAGCUCUUUUUUGGAGGCAGGGGAAGACAACUACUGAGCUCUCUAUUUCUGUUUAUUGUUUAUGGUCAGAAGUAGUUUAUUUGGUCCUGGCCUGGAUCUCUAUGUACUUUCUGGGGAUGUAAUUGAGUUUUGUUUUUUUUUUUUUGGUAAUUUUUAGUAACUGAAAAUUUUGAUACCAAACUAGAAACCAUUUGUCUUCUGUUUUAAACUGGAGUCAAUGGGAAAAUUGGGAUUAAAUGGGACAUUCCAUCUCCUACUUAGCUUUGUUACAAUGCAUCUAUUCCACAAAUGGUGUGGCCAGGGGCCUUGGGCACCAUGAAAAAGAAUAAAGCAAGAUAAAUUUUAUGGGAUGACCAUGCCAUAGACUUCCUAUCUCACUGAUUAAAGGAUAGCAUUAGUGGAGACAAAAUGUUUGGAGGAUGGGGCACCUUAUUAGUUUUAGCAGCAUUUAACAUAGAUAAAGCGAAGAAAUACCUGUAGUUAACUUAUCCAAACAUCAGGAAUGAGGUCAGAUAGAUGACUGCUACAGACACCUCCACACAGUAUGAGAGCUUGAUUUGGAGUAAAGGUCUUCUGGGGAGGUGGAAUUCAGGAGACACCUAUCUCUCUUACACACACAGCUUAAAUUCAUUGAGUCUGAUGCUCAGUCAAGAUUGGGUGCCAUUGACUUAAUAUUUUGUGCUAUUGAUAAGACACAGGCAGGUGGUAUUAGGCUGAGAAAAACUGGUUUGGAUGGAAAUAGAGUAUAUGCAUGGAUUAUUAGAGCUACCUAAACUAUGGGGUCACAAAAAUAGCAUCAGUAGUUUCUUUUUCUUUUUAGGUUGCUGGGUAGUGCUUGAUCCCACUGAACUAUAUCCUGAGCCCUGUUUCUCUCUUUUUAAUAUUUCAGAUCCAAGAAGUCUUAAAGUUUAUUUUAGGUGAUGAGCAAUUCACGUUGAAAUGGGUCAGCUUUGAAGUGAACAAAAAGUAGCAAAACAUUAUAGGUUGUCGUUUUUUUUUUUUUUUCCAAUUCCUAGAGCAUAAGAUUAGAAAAAUCCAGGAGGUAAGGCCUUACAACUAGUACAAAAGAAAACCACACAUGAAGCUUGAAUCCUUGGAUUUCAUAGAAUGAAAUAGGUAAACCAAAGAUGGCAAACCUUGAGAAUGGCAAACAAGGACACCAACACUCUGACCCAAACAAGAAAAAUUCUAAGAACGCACUGUCUGGGGUAUAAGAGGACCACAGAGGUUCAGGAAAACUGGAGGAAGCAUUCUUUCCAAAGGCAUUAACAUAAUAUAUACCAAUGCUAGCUAUGUGCCCUACAUCUAUUUUCUUUACCUGUGAGCUGUAAAAUCAUAAGGCAAGUUGUUCCUAAUGUUAAAAAGUAUCUUCAGAAUACUAUGCCAGCAUACAAAUUCUUUCUUGUUUUUCUUCAAGUGUCCUAAGCCCACGAUGCAUGCUAGAAGAUAAUAAUAUUUUAAAUACAGCAGCAACUUUAGUCUGAAAUGUUUAAAGUUAAAGUUUAUUUGUAUUUUUUGUAGGAAUAUCAAUAAAAGACCUCAAACGUAUCUAUAUCUGUACAUGUACAAGAACCGUCAAAAAUUAUUCACAGAACAAAAAUAAAUCUUUUUUUAGAACAAACCCAGGUAAUGAAAUGCAGAUAUGGAUCUCAUAUAUGGAACAAUCUAGGUGCUAUGGAAGCACAAAAAUAUGGCUUUAAAAAGAAAAUAAAAUCUUGGGUUUUGCUUUUCUAAGGUGAAUUUCUCUUUCUUGAAAUAAAAAUAAAUUAUUUAGAGCUAUCACUGUAAAAUAGUCAUGUGUGUUAAUACACUCUUAUUAAGGCCCUGGAGAUGAAAAACAAAAAUUGGCAGAUAAAUUCCUCACAGGUGUUAUCCAUGUAAAUAUGCUGCUGUCUGCUUAAGCUGACAUUAAUGGAGCUAAGAGACGUCUAAGCACCAGUCAAAAUUUAACCAUUACUACUUAUUUUAGAUCUUCUGCAGGAUGGUGGUCAUUGAGUUAAUUAGCAUUUAACUUUUUAGCAAACUGGAAAUUGAAAUUUUUCCCUUGGAAUCUUGGAAAUGACACAUAUGUGCAAUUUAUACUUAAAAUACUUGUACCCCACUCAGAUGAUGAAGACCCUAAAACACAGUUUUUGUGGAAAUGCCACUGUAUCAACACUUAAGUCUGGUUUUUAAGUUCCUAAACAUUUUUUUCUAGGGAAUAAGGAGGGCAUUUGAUGAAAGAAAAACAAAACAAACUAACCAAACAAAAAACAACUGAGAAGGAAAUUAAAAUGUCUGCUGAAACAUGGGCCCAAAGUACCCCUUUCCUUUCUUUUUGCAUUGGCCAAGUCUGGCUGGGCUGUCAUAUGAACACUGGGAACCUUCUUCUGCAACCUGUGCUCAGAUCAACUUUCUUUCUCUGACUCUCCAUGCUACCAAGAGUAACAUCUAGGGUUCUUAAGACUAUGCCAAACCAAAUUCAAGUCACUUUAACUUAUAUAUACAUAUGACACAUUUUAGGAGGGGUCAAGGGAAGCAAAUCUUCCUGUUUCUUUGAACUUCUGAGCAACCAAGAAGACUAUAUAUUAGUCUGCCUCUGGAUUAUAUGUCUUCCUCAGGCUCUUUCUGAAAGAAAAAUAGACUCUGUCGCAUGCAAAUUUCAUCACCUUUGUCUUGUCAAAACUCAGAGCUUUCAUAGAUUGGCCGGUGACAAGAGCAUGCUCUAUGAGAACUGACUGCAACCAUGCAAACAUAAAAAGAGAGUGUACUUAAAAAUUUAACAUCUCAACAUUUCUUGCUUUUAAGAAACUAGUGAAGUUAUUUUAAAUUAAUAAUAAUAAAAAAAGAUAUCCCAGGUACAGGGUGGGAAGGCGACUUUUUAUUGCUGGUGUAAGCAGAUUUCAUUACUAGAUUUGAAAAUGGGAAAGGUAUGGAGCAGAAGUCCUUUAGAACUUCCACAAUCUGUAGCAGAAAGUGACCGAAAAUGCAGCAAAGCUGUGGAAUGGGCUCUGGAGCUCUGGGUCUACCAGUAACAAGCCUAGUCUAGGUCAAGCCUGAGGCUCAGCUGGUCUGCUGACUGAUGAGACUGAGGUAAUCCUGACAAAGGCUGCUUCCCCCAGUUCAGUCCCAUAACUGGCCUUUUCAGGGAUUAUACCUGGAAGGAACCAGAAUUAUCUGGUUGGAAGCAAAAGAAAUACUAAUGCAAACUCACUUGAUGGCAAGCAUUUUUCUCUGGGGCUUCCAAACAAAAAUUCUGAUCUCAAGCUGCUGUACCUCUGAGGACACAAUGAGAGCCAGGGAAAACUGCUGGUCCAUAAAAAAAACAAAGCAGAGUAAAAUCUGAAAAGUUUUACUUCUAAAAUCAAGCUCAGCCCCAAGGGCAUAUGUUUCAUGCUUACACCACUCAGAAACUUACUUUUUCUUUACUGUCCAACCCCAUCAUAGAGGACAGAAGCAGAUCAGUCAGAACACUGAUUCUGACCAACCUGAUGGUAAGUGAAAAGGGAAGAGGAGGAGGAGGAGGAGGAGGAGGAGGAGGAGGAGCUGCUAUAGCAAUAUAAUAACCUCAUCUGCCACACUGCCAUUAGUAGAAGACUUCCCAGACCCAAACAGCACAGAGGUGAUGGACACUGUGGAAAUAAUGCCGGCCUCAUGGAAAUGGAAUGUUUUGCUGCUUUGGUCUGGAAAGCUUAUUACUCCAGUGAUGCAAAAGGGAGUGCCUUUCGUGAAGGCUAGUAACAUUGUUCUUGUUAGUGGCCAAGUCUGGUGCUACCUAGAUAUGAACUUUACAAGCAUUUCACCCCAAUUCCAAAGUCCAUUCAACCCUGGUCUAUUCUCCCCGAUGACGUAGUGAUAUGUUGAAGGAAAUAGGUUUGCAAGACACAGCUACCUAAAUCCAUCAGUUUUCUUUCAAUCAGGCAUGCAUUUCCUCGUAGCGAAAUAAAAGUAUGUACCUAUUCUGACUGAAGAAACACCAUGUAAAAUUAUGACCUGCUGCUGCUGCUGUCUUCUUCUAUCCCUAAAACCCUUUUCAAAAUAAACUCUAUAGAUUGCAACAUUCUCUAAAGAAAUAUUCAGAAAACUACUUUGUUAUAGUUUUUGCUCUGAGAUAGGGCCUUCUGUACCUCAGUUUGGCCAGCAACUGGCAUAAGAUGACCUUAAACUCCCGAUCCUCUUGCUUCUGCCUCCAGAGUGCUGGGAUUACAGGCCUGUGUAUCACCAACCCAGUUUACCUGGUACUGGGUUGACAAUUUGCCAACUGAGCUACAUCCCUAGCUUAGAAAAAUAUUUUUGAUAGCCUAAAAAGAUGAGAAGGGUCAAAGGACAAUCUAAAAUUUAACAUCUGGCAACAACUCUGAACUUUCAUUCUCUAAUCCUCUUAUUGUUUUUUUACUUUUUUCUCUUUAUUCAACAAAACCUGAUAGUAGAGGGCCUUGAAGUUGUCCAAAUGUUUUGGACAUUUAAUCUUGCAAUGUCAUCAACAGGCCCUCUAAGAAGGACCUAGAAUGUUAACAAGAUAUAUUGCAUCCAUCAAUAUACUUAUCUGAUAAACUCUCUAUAAUCUAUAACCAGCACUUGAAAAGCUUUCAAACCUCAAUUCAAGAUGUCACCCACAUUAUAUACUUAAGGUCACUGAAACUACUCUUUUACUAGGUUUCCUGUGGUACUACUGAAGGGUUUUGAAUGACUUAAACAUUGCUAGAGCUGAGACUAAGCCACAAACAAGAAAAGAUCUACAUUUACAUCCAGUCUCACCCAGCACAGAGUAUUACUUCAGAAUCUGUAACCCUUGUUUCCUAUGAAGUGAUUUUAAUCACAGUGUGCCCUCAGUUUGGAGGGCAGAAAUAAAAAAUUAUAAAAUAACUGUUAAGGGUCAAGAAAAUACCUAUGUGCCAUAAUAGGACAUGAAGCCUACAGUCCUAAGCUCAACAAGAAGCUCCUGUUUUAGGUCUCUGACACAGAGGAAUUAUGAAUAAAAUUAUUUUCAGAAUAAAAUUAUUAUUGUGGAUUGGGGGCUCUGGUGAAGUUACUGAGGCAACACAAAGAUCAACCUUAGGGGGUAGAGAGCAAGAGUUGGGAUGCAAGCCUGGGACUUGGUGGAAAGAGGGGCUUGGUGUCUAUGCCUGGGCUUCAAACAAAAGAGGGUGCAAUACAAGUUCUCGUUUCCUUAUAAAUAUUCUGUUAUAUAGAAACACUCCAUACAUAUGGUUCCUGUAGGUCUUUCUUCUUGUCUUUAACUUAAAAAAUUCUUAAAGUUUAUAAUUUAAAGUAAACAUUAAAGUAUUUGAGAAACAUCACUUUCUCAAUGUAAAGCUGCUUAGAUCUUCCUUAAAAAUAUUCAAAACCCUUUUAACAUUAUCUUUGUAUAUCCGACAGCAUAGAAGGCAUCAAUGUUUUCUAUUUGUGCAUUAUAUGUACAUAUGUGAGGAUAUAUGGUAUAUAUGUUUAUAUAAUGUCUAUUUAACAUGUAGCAAACUUUCCUUCCUCUGGUAAUCAAGGCUGCAUUCCAGAUGACAUAUCACACUCUGGAGUGAAAAAGGAAGCAUUCUUUUUUGUCUUAUACUAAAGUCUUUGAUCAUAAACUAGGUCAUUAUUACCAAAUCUACCAAGAGUGUGGAAUAACAACAGGAAUGUGCCAUCUUCAUACUUUUGGUUCUCUCUAUAUAGCAAGAUUAAUAGUCAUUUUUAAAGAGUGAUGCUUCCGUUUUAGAUUUCCUUUCAUGGAGGGGAUUAAAAGAAAGAAGCAGCAAUUUAAAAGUUAAAAACAGUGAUAAAAUUACCUUGCCCAUAGAUUUGCUAGUACAGCGGAUAAAAUAAAUCUUCAUUCCAAGCAAAAAAUAGAAACAACAAAUGAGGAAGAAAUAUUUUAGUAGGAUUCAGAGAUUCCUGCUCUGUUGUAGUUAGCCCUUUUCUGUGUGGAAGAAAGGGUAUCUAUUUCAGAUGGCUUGGUAUACUUGAAUAACCUCCCCAGCGGAGAGUAAAUCCUGUUGGUGCUGAUUGCUCUCAGCAUGGGGAGGAAAGGGCAGUAGACAUGUGAAGAUGAAGAUGGUAUACAAAGACACAAAUAUUUAUAGUUCUGUCAACUCUAAAGAGAAAAAAGAAUACCCUUUAUUACAAUAGGAAUAAAAAUCAGAAAGUCCCAUAUCUAAAACAGAAAAUUCUCAUCUGUUGCAGAGAGAGGGAAAAAACAUACUGACAGGAGUUCAACAGAAGUCACUCCUAAAGUCCAGUUUUGAUACAAUCAACCACUUUUUAUCUGUGUUCUCUGAAAUGCUGACUCUCCAAAUCAGAUCAGCUGUCUGCCAGAACCAUCUUGGCCUAUCAGUGGCAUAAUUAUUGUUUUGUACAGAUUGUGGUAUUCGCAUGUUCCUAAAAGGGGACCAGGAUUUGGUUUUUAACUGGCAGACGAA
Long non-coding RNA from Nannospalax galili (Upper Galilee mountains blind mole rat), 6769 nucleotides. RefSeq lists it as uncharacterized. The transcript has 2 exons. The record is from RefSeq and is a predicted model, not a curated record. NCBI's taxonomy places the organism in Eukaryota, Metazoa, Chordata, Mammalia, Rodentia, Spalacidae.